CAUAGGCUUGUCAAAGAACCACCUUCCUCUGCUAAUCUUAGCUCUUUGUUUCAUUUCCUUUCACUAAUCUUGGCUGUUUGUUUCAUUUCCUUUAACCUCACUGGGCUUGUUUUGCUAGAGUAGAAAGACUCGCAAGAACGGAGGUUGGACGGGAGACUGUUCCGAGCAGGUACAAAAGACAUGCUCCAUGUCCUGGUCACCUGCUGUUUCCCAUUUAACCAUAAGAAACAGCAGGUUCCUCUUGGUUAAAGAAACCUCAGAAGAUUCCCUCACAGAAGCUGAAGAGCGAUCGCAUCGCCAGCAGCCAGGGUCCCCGGGAAGCUGUCAUGUAAGUAGAAAAAUCCUGCUCCCCUCCACUCCCACCUUAUCUUACCCCUCCCCCACUCCACAUCCCCUUCUCUAUUCCCUCAGUCUAAGUUCUGCCUCACCAGACAGACAUCAGACAAAUUUGAGGCAUUACACUCAGGGGAUAAGAUCCAACCAGACUAUGUAAUCCAAAACUUCCUAUUAUUACACCAGGGACAGGCCCAGAGAGGGCUGGUAACAUUCCACAUCCUGCUCCCUGAAUGGGUGUCAGCUCACACUUCUGUGGUUACUGUGGUGGAUGCCUGGCCAGCUUCUCCUGGGGGAAGGGCAGUUGGCAAGCACAGUGACCACCUCCAGAGGGUCUCUCCCUACUACUCCGCUCUGACUUCCUGUCCCAGAGAGGACCCCUCCCCUGUAGCAGGUGGGCCUGACAGGUUUUAGCGUCUAAGGAGUCAUCCCUGAGAUAAAACCCUCCAGCAUGUCACCUGACCCUGCCAGCCCACCCUCAUCCACAGCUUCAGAACCAACCAGUGCCAACCCAAAGGAGAAUUAUGUGAAAAGCCUGGGUCAAAAACUCACGCCCAGGACUUCCCUUGUGGUCCAGUGGUUAAGAAUCUGCUUUGUGAUGCAGGAGACAUGGGUUUGAUCCCUGGUCCGGGAACUAAGAUCCCACAUCCACAUGCCACAGAGCAACUAACCCCACAGGCCACAAUUACUGAGCCUGUGCAAUACAAUUAGAGAGUCUGUGCACUAUGAUGAAAUAUCCCUCAUGGGGAAACAAAUAUCCGAUACAGCCAAAUAAAUAAAUAUUU
Bubalus bubalis (water buffalo) is the source of this 1118-nucleotide long non-coding RNA. RefSeq lists it as uncharacterized. The record is from RefSeq and is a predicted model, not a curated record. NCBI's taxonomy places the organism in Eukaryota, Metazoa, Chordata, Mammalia, Artiodactyla, Bovidae. The transcript is spliced from 2 exons.